Molecule: ribosomal RNA, 478 nt
Filed under: uncultured bacterium
Lineage: Bacteria
Description: partial 16S ribosomal RNA
Rfam family: Bacterial small subunit ribosomal RNA
Source: RNAcentral
GACGAACGCUGGCGGCGUGCUUAACACAUGCAAGUCGAACGGUAAGGCCCUUCGGGGUACACGAGUGGCGAACGGGUGAGUAACACGUGGGUGAUCUGCCCUGCACUUCGGGAUAAGCCUGGGAUACUGGGUCUAAUACCGGAUAGGACCACUGCCUGCAUGGGUGGUGGUGGAAAGCUUUUGCGGUGUGGGAUGGGCCCGCGGCCUAUCAGCUUGUUGGUGGGGUGAUGGCCUACCAAGGCGACGACGGGUAGCCGGCCUGAGAGGGUGACAGGCCACACUGGGACUGAGAUACGGCACAGACUCCUACGGGAGGCAGCAGUGGGGAAUAUUGCACAAUGGGCGCAAGCCUGAUGCAGCGACGCCGCGUGAGGGAUGACGGCCUUCGGGUUGUAAACCUCUUUCAGCACCGACGAAGCGCAAGUGACGGUAGGUGCAGAAGAAGGACCGGCCAACUACGUGCCAGCAGCCGCCGUAA